UACGGGGGGGGCAAGCGUUGUUCGGAAUUACUGGGCGUAAAGGGCUCGUAGGCGGUCAAUUAAGUCAGGCGUGAAAUCCCCAGGCUCAACUUGGGAACUGCGUCUGAUACUGGUUGGCUUGAAUUCGGGAGAGGGAUGCAGAAUUCCAGGUGUAGCGGUGAAAUGCGUAGAUAUCUGGAGGAAUACCGGUGGCGAAGGCGGCAUCCUGGACCGAGAUUGACACUGAGGAGCGAAAGCCAGGGGAGCAAACGGG
Molecule: ribosomal RNA, 253 nt
Filed under: uncultured bacterium
Lineage: Bacteria
Description: partial 16S ribosomal RNA
Rfam family: Bacterial small subunit ribosomal RNA
Source: RNAcentral